GCUUUCAUGACCCUCUUCACAGUGUAUAUAUUAAAUAAUUGCGGAGAUGAAGAUACGCUCUAACGGAUCGCAAUCAAAUGCGGUUCUCCCAUAAAACAAAUUCUCACGCAAUGAAAAUGGUAAAAAGUUAGUCCUUCGUUGAACAGCCAAAGUAAUAGAGAAGCAAUGCAUUGUAACCACAACUGUUUAGAUCGAAUUAUCUGAAUUUGGAGGAAAAAUCGUUGCUAUAUUGUUCGCUUAUUUUUAU
This is a non-coding RNA of Paramuricea clavata, 247 nucleotides long. NCBI's taxonomy places the organism in Eukaryota, Metazoa, Cnidaria, Anthozoa, Malacalcyonacea, Plexauridae. The record is from the annotation of a GenBank genome assembly.